This 326-nucleotide ribosomal RNA is filed under the name bacterium. RNAcentral's name for it is "bacterial SSU rRNA". It matches the Rfam family "Bacterial small subunit ribosomal RNA", at positions 1 to 312 of the family's 1533-position model. The record is from RNAcentral.
ACAACGGAGAGUUUGAUCCUGGCUCAGAACGAACGUUGGCGGCGUGGUUUAGGCAUGCAAGUCGAACGAGAAAGCAUCUUCGGAUGUGAGUAAAGUGGCGAACGGGAGAGUAACGCGUGGAAAACCUGCCCUUCAGCGGGGGAUAACAUCUCUAACGAGGUGCUAAUACCGCAUACGACCAGGAAGUCGCAUGGCUUCCUGAUGAAAGAUGGCCUCUGAUUCAAGCUGUCACUGAAGGAUGGUUCCGCGUCCCAUUAGCUUGUUGGUGGGGUAAUGGCCUACCAAGGCGACGAUGGGUAGCCGGCCUGAGAGGGUGUCCGGCCACA